AGAGUUUGAUCCUGGCUCAGGACGAACGCUGGCGGCGUGCCUAACACAUGCAAGUCGAACGAAGUAUGUUUUUCGGAAUAUGCUUAGUGGCGGACGGGUGAGUAACGCGUGAACAAUCUGCCCCGUACAAAGGAAUAGCCUCGGGAAACCGGGAUUAAAACCAUAUAACACUUUAGUACCGCAUGGUACAGAAGUCAAAUUGGUUAGAGGUAUGGGAUGAGUUCGCGUCUGAUUAGCUAGUUGGUAAGGUAACGGCUUACCAAGGCGACGAUCAGUAGCCGGCCUGAGAGGGUGAACGGCCACACUGGAACUGAGACACGGUCCAGACUCCUACGGGAGGCAGCAGUGGGGAAUAUUGCACAAUGGAGGAAACUCUGAUGCAGCGACGCCGCGUGAGUGAAGAAGGUCUUCGGAUCGUAAAACUCUGUCCUUGGUGAAGAAAAGGACGGUAGCCAAGGAGGAAGCCCCGGCUAACUACGUGCCAGCAGCCGCGGUAAUACGUAGGGGGCGAGCGUUGUCCGGAUUUACUGGGCGUAAAGGGUGAGUAGGCGGUUGUAUAUGUCAGGUGUAAAAGGCUAUGGCUUAACCAUGGUUAGCACUUGAAACUGUGCAACUUGAGUGCAGGAGAGGUAAGCGGAAUUCCUAGUGUAGCGGUGAAAUGCGUAGAUAUUAGGAGGAACACCAGUGGCGAAGGCGGCUUACUGGACUGUAACUGACGCUGAGUCACGAAAGCGUGGGUAGCAAACAGGAUUAGAUACCCUGGUAGUCCACGCUGUAAACGAUGAGUGCUAGGUGU
This 796-nucleotide ribosomal RNA is filed under the name uncultured bacterium. RNAcentral describes it as "bacterial SSU rRNA". It matches the Rfam family "Bacterial small subunit ribosomal RNA", at positions 8 to 823 of the family's 1533-position model. The record is from RNAcentral.